AGCAGCCGCGGUAAUUCCAGCUCCAAUAGCGUAUAUUAAAGUUGUUGCAGUUAAAAAAGCUCGUAGUUGAAUUUCGGGAUCAGACUGUCGGUCGUGCCUCGGUACGCACUGGCAUUAUUGGUUCCUACCUUCUGAAGAACCGCGAUGUCAUUAAUUUGGUGUCGUGGGGAAUCAGGACUGUUACUUUGAAAAAAUUAGAGUGUUUAAAGCAGGCGCACGCUUGAAUACAUUAGCAUGGAAUAAUGAAAUAGGACGUUUGAUUCUAUUUUGUUGGUUUCUAGGAUCGACGUAAUGAUUAAUAGGGAUAGUUGGGGGCAUUAGUAUUCAAUUGUCAGAGGUGAAAUUCUUGGAUUUAUUGAAGACUAACUACUGCGAAAGCAUUUGCCAAGGAUGUUUUCAUUAACCAAGAACGGAAGUUAGGGGAUCGAAGACGAUCAGAUACCGUCGUAGUCUUAACCAUAAACUAUGCCGACUAGGGAUCGGAUGAUGUUAAUUUUUUAAUGACUCA
Molecule: ribosomal RNA, 508 nt
Filed under: uncultured Glomeraceae
Lineage: Eukaryota; Fungi; Glomeromycota; Glomeromycetes; Glomerales; Glomeraceae
Description: SSU rRNA
Rfam family: Eukaryotic small subunit ribosomal RNA
Source: RNAcentral